Molecule: ribosomal RNA, 384 nt
Filed under: uncultured bacterium
Lineage: Bacteria
Description: bacterial SSU rRNA
Rfam family: Bacterial small subunit ribosomal RNA
Source: RNAcentral
GAUGAACGCUGGCGGCAUGCUUUACACAUGCAAGUCGAACGGUAACAGGCCUUCGGGUGCUGACGAGUGGCGAACGGGUGAGUAAUGCAUCGGAACGUGCCCAAUCGUGGGGGAUAACGUAGCGAAAGUUACGCUAAUACCGCAUAAGCCCUGAGGGGGAAAGCAGGGGAUCGCAAGACCUUGCGCGAAUGGAGCGGCCGAUGUCAGAUUAGCUAGUUGGUGGGGUAAAGGCCUACCAAGGCGACGAUCUGUAGCGGGUCUGAGAGGAUGAUCCGCCACACUGGGACUGAGACACGGCCCAGACUCCUACGGGAGGCAGCAGUGGGGAAUUUUGGACAAUGGGCGCAAGCCUGAUCCAGCCAUGCCGCGUGCGGGACGAAGGCC